CGUUAUGAAGCUAUAAAGCAUUAACCUUUUAAGUUAAAGAUUGAGAACACUAAUUCUCCAUAACGA
This 66-nucleotide transfer RNA is filed under the name Mesomys stimulax (Surinam spiny tree rat). Its description in RNAcentral is "tRNA-Lys". The record is from RNAcentral. Lineage: Eukaryota; Metazoa; Chordata; Mammalia; Rodentia; Echimyidae.